Molecule: unclassified non-coding RNA, 437 nt
Filed under: Lotus laricus
Lineage: Eukaryota; Viridiplantae; Streptophyta; Magnoliopsida; Fabales; Fabaceae
Description: partial external transcribed spacer
Source: RNAcentral
UGUAUGAGUUGUGWUUGGGWUGUUCUUGCUGGCUGGCUCCAUGCUUUUGCAUCGAACGGUUGGCAUGCAACUCCGUUUCAAGGACACCUCGCUCAUAGAUGCGGUGGUGCGCGGUCCCGGUUCCUGUGUUGCCUACCUCUUGAAUGGUAUUCGUGUGGCUUGUUGGAUUUUGUCCGCCCGGUUCUCCCCCUGGGGGUGCUGGGGGACUUCGAAGUGAUGCUUGUGUUCCACGUUAGUUGUUCGUUACUGCAGCAAUCAACCGUGGUGCAUAUGUAUUUGCUGCUCUCUCGGAUGCGGUGCAUGAGAUGAAACACGGGAAAUCUUCCCAUUCAGUCCCUCAAAUCUCGGUUGCCUUGAACGACACUUGCCUUCGUGCCCUGCUUGCUCUCCACCCGUGGUUGCAUGCAGGCACCGAUGAGCAAAGUUGUUAACGGAUG